AGAAAACUGUUUGCUCACGCGGGUGCUGGGCACUGUGCGUGCACGCAUGCGCGCACAAUGGCCGCGGGGCAUGCACACAGCGUGCACGACCCAUCCGCACACUAGCAAGCACGGGACAUGAGCACAGCACGCAUGGCCCCUCCACACGAACGCACGCACGGGACGUGCGCACAGUGCGCAAGUCCCCUCCGUGCGCAUGGUGUGGGCUCAGGACCAGCGCAUGCAUGUGGGUUCUCUGUGUGUCACUCGCGCUUGGACUAGCACCGCACAGUGUGUGUGUGCCGUCUGUAGCUUGC
This 296-nucleotide long non-coding RNA is filed under the name Carica papaya (papaya). RNAcentral's name for it is "long non-coding RNA (CPAP_LNC004968)". Lineage: Eukaryota; Viridiplantae; Streptophyta; Magnoliopsida; Brassicales; Caricaceae. The record is from RNAcentral.